Long non-coding RNA from Sapajus apella (tufted capuchin), 757 nucleotides. RefSeq lists it as uncharacterized. The record is from RefSeq and is a predicted model, not a curated record. The transcript is spliced from 2 exons. NCBI's taxonomy places the organism in Eukaryota, Metazoa, Chordata, Mammalia, Primates, Cebidae.
GAGUUUUCUGCCUUGGCAAAGACUGCAGUUCUCAUGGAUGAGGCUUGUCUUGAAACCCAGGUCUUCUGUCUUGUCUGGUACCUUUCCUAACAUGUGAUUUCUUUCUAGGGUCUAAGAAACUCCUUCCUGUCUGACAAUGCCUCCAAAGUUUUAGGAUUUUCAGGAUUACCUUUAUAUUCUGUUUUACACUGAUGGCUUUGGGAUAAAAUGCCCUGGAAAUAUCUCUCUCCAAAACCAUCCCUAGAGAGAAGUCUGAUACAUUGUGGCACCACAGUCCUCUUCAUCAUCCCUCUGUGAGGUCACCAAGGACUUACAAAGAAAAGGAUCCCCCAUUAAAUGAAAAGACUAGAAAGUGGAGGGACAAUGACCCACCCAGACACCAUAUUUCCUCCUCCAUCCUUUCUCUCCCCAGGGGUCACAAAGUCUAAACUACCCAAUGAGGAAACCGGGGCUGGGGUGAAGUCUACCCAGGAAUCAGGCCCACGGUUGGCUGGACCCACCUCCAGGCUGUCAGGGUCUGCACAGCAAGACAACUGAAGAACAGCAGGGGAGAGAAAGAUUUGCUAAAGAUGUUCAUAUGGAUAGGAGGACAGAAUAACAGCACAGAAACAGAGCCCCACUCAGUCUUUAGAGAAAUAGAUAUCAGGGUUCAACCCUUCCUGCUGUCACUUCGAAACUCAGAGGAAGACAUCUGUUUUGGUGACUGUCCUUUUCCAUUCAGGUGGCUAUGACAAAAUACCAUAAACCACAUAAUUUA